This 1296-nucleotide ribosomal RNA is filed under the name Enterobacter hormaechei. RNAcentral's name for it is "partial 23S ribosomal RNA". It matches the Rfam family "Bacterial large subunit ribosomal RNA", at positions 1088 to 2364 of the family's 2925-position model. Lineage: Bacteria; Pseudomonadati; Pseudomonadota; Gammaproteobacteria; Enterobacterales; Enterobacteriaceae. The record is from RNAcentral.
GACAGCCAGGAUGUUGGCUUAGAAGCAGCCAUCAUUUAAAGAAAGCGUAAUAGCUCACUGGUCGAGUCGGCCUGCGCGGAAGAUGUAACGGGGCUAAACCAUGCACCGAAGCUGCGGCAGCGACACUUAUGUGUUGUUGGGUAGGGGAGCGUUCUGUAAGCCGUUGAAGGUGUGCUGUGAGGCAUGCUGGAGGUAUCAGAAGUGCGAAUGCUGACAUAAGUAACGAUAAAGCGGGUGAAAAGCCCGCUCGCCGGAAGACCAAGGGUUCCUGUCCAACGUUAAUCGGGGCAGGGUGAGUCGACCCCUAAGGCGAGGCCGAAAGGCGUAGUCGAUGGGAAACAGGUUAAUAUUCCUGUACUUGGUGUUACUGCGAAGGGGGGACGGAGAAGGCUAUGUCAGCCGGGCGACGGUUGUCCCGGUUUAAGCAUGUAGGCGGAGGUUCCAGGUAAAUCCGGUACCUUGUUAACGCUGAGGUGUGAUGACGAGGCACUACGGUGCUGAAGUGAUAAAUGCCCUGCUUCCAGGAAAAGCCUCUAAGCAUCAGGUAACACGAAAUCGUACCCCAAACCGACACAGGUGGUCAGGUAGAGAAUACCAAGGCGCUUGAGAGAACUCGGGUGAAGGAACUAGGCAAAAUGGUGCCGUAACUUCGGGAGAAGGCACGCUGAUGUGUAGGUGAAGCCCCUGCGGGCGGAGCUGAAAUCAGUCGAAGAUACCAGCUGGCUGCAACUGUUUAUUAAAAACACAGCACUGUGCAAACACGAAAGUGGACGUAUACGGUGUGACGCCUGCCCGGUGCCGGAAGGUUAAUUGAUGGGGUUAGCGGCAACGCGAAGCUCUUGAUCGAAGCCCCGGUAAACGGCGGCCGUAACUAUAACGGUCCUAAGGUAGCGAAAUUCCUUGUCGGGUAAGUUCCGACCUGCACGAAUGGCGUAAUGAUGGCCAGGCUGUCUCCACCCGAGACUCAGUGAAAUUGAACUCGCUGUGAAGAUGCAGUGUACCCGCGGCAAGACGGAAAGACCCCGUGAACCUUUACUAUAGCUUGACACUGAACACUGGUCCUUGAUGUGUAGGAUAGGUGGGAGGCUUUGAAGCGUGGACGCCAGUCUGCGUGGAGCCAUCCUUGAAAUACCACCCUUUAAUGGCUGGUGUUCUAACGUAGACCCGUGAUCCGGGUUGCGGACAGUGUCUGGUGGGUAGUUUGACUGGGGCGGUCUCCUCCCAAAGAGUAACGGAGGAGCACGAAGGUUGGCUAAUCCUGGUCGGACAUCAGGAGGUUAGUGCAAUGGCAUAAGC